AAGCCAUAUAAUAAACUUUAGAUGCACAUCAAGUUUUCAUGUCAUGCUAAACAAAUAAAAUACCGAAAACUGAUUACACAUACCUUUGUCCUUAUACUUUCAAGUAUUUGAACUACAUGUCCAAAACUACACGUCUUUCAUAUGGAGUCAAUUCUUCUUGAAUUGUAUCUUUUCCAUUUAGUCAAUAUUUUAUUUGUAU
Molecule: long non-coding RNA, 199 nt
Filed under: Nicotiana benthamiana
Lineage: Eukaryota; Viridiplantae; Streptophyta; Magnoliopsida; Solanales; Solanaceae
Description: long non-coding RNA (NBEN_LNC000313)
Source: RNAcentral